GUGUUACUCUGGUAGCACAUAUCCUAAAAUUGGAACGAUACAGAGAAGAUUAGCAUGGCCCCUUUACAA
RNAcentral lists this small nuclear RNA (69 nucleotides) under Dicentrarchus labrax (European seabass). Lineage: Eukaryota; Metazoa; Chordata; Actinopteri; Moronidae. The record is from RNAcentral.